AUAGAUUUUGGUGGAAUGGACUUUGGAGCUGUUUAUGGUAUGCGACGAUCAUUCAGUGAAGGGGACAUAAAGACUCUGGGCAAUGGCAACAUAAAUGUGAUCCAUUCUCCACGGGGUCAACCACAGAUUAUCGGAACUUCCACUUCUGAUGUUCGCAAGGAACAGCUCUCCAGAUACCGGAACAAGAAGAACAAGAGGAAUUUUGGCAGAAAAAUCAAGUAUGCUUGCAGGAAGGCGUUGGCUGAUAGUCAACCAAGGAUCCGUGGAAGGUUUGCAAAAACAGAAGAAAUGGAUAUAUCGAAGAAGCAUUAACUGUUAACAGUGGAAGAGAAAUAUAUAGUAAGGUAGUAAUGGGACUGCUGAUAUUAGCUUUAGAAUAGGAUCUGCUCAAAUAAGCUGGGGGUCCAUCCAACAUGUUGCAAGUUUGUUAAAUCUUUGGGUAGUGGCAAUAAUCUUUGUAGAUUAGACAAACCAACUAGUCUUGUAUAUAGUGUUUGUUAA
This 501-nucleotide unclassified non-coding RNA is filed under the name Hevea brasiliensis (rubber tree). Lineage: Eukaryota; Viridiplantae; Streptophyta; Magnoliopsida; Malpighiales; Euphorbiaceae. The record is from RNAcentral.